CUUGAGCGAGAUUUAAAAUAGAGGAUAAGCAUGUAGACGCCUUUGAUUGAAACCUUUCGGACGGGGGUUCGAUUCCCCCCGCCUCCACCA
RNAcentral lists this transfer-messenger RNA (90 nucleotides) under Nitrospina sp. RNAcentral describes it as "partial transfer-messenger RNA". It matches the Rfam family "transfer-messenger RNA", at positions 284 to 374 of the family's 374-position model. From Rfam's summary of the family: Bacterial tmRNA, also known as 10Sa RNA or SsrA, is named for its dual tRNA and mRNA-like properties. Its role is to liberate the mRNA from a stalled ribosome. Lineage: Bacteria; Pseudomonadati; Nitrospinota; Nitrospinia; Nitrospinales; Nitrospinaceae. The record is from RNAcentral.